Molecule: ribosomal RNA, 492 nt
Filed under: uncultured bacterium
Lineage: Bacteria
Description: partial 16S ribosomal RNA
Rfam family: Bacterial small subunit ribosomal RNA
Source: RNAcentral
AGUGAACGCUGGCGGUAGGCCUAACACAUGCAAGUCGAACGGCAGCACAGUAAGAGCUUGCUCUUACGGGUGGCGAGUGGCGGACGGGUGAGGAAUACAUCGGAAUCUACUUUUUCGUGGGGGAUAUCGUAGGGCAACUUACGCUAAUACCGCAUAUGACCUACGGGUGAAAGCAGGGGAUCUUCGCACCUUGCGCGAUUGAAUGAGCCGAUGUCGGAUUAGCUAGUUGGCGGGGUAAAGGCCCACCAAGGCGACGAUCCGUAGCUGGUCUGAGAGGAUGAUCGGCCACACUGGAACUGAGACACGGUCCAGACUCCUACGGGAGGCAGCAGUGGGGAAUAUUGGACAAUGGGCGCAAGCCUGAUCCAGCCAUACCGCGUGGGUGAAGAAGGCCUUCGGGUUGUAAAGCCCUUUUGUUGGGAAAGAAAAGCAGCAGGUGAAUACCCCGCUGUUCUGACGGUACCCAAAGAAUAAGCACCGGCUAACUUCGUG